AGUGAAGCGGCAACAGCUCAAAUUUGAAAUCUGGCCCCCUCGGGGUCCGAGUUGUAAUUUGCAGAGGGUGCUUUGGCGUUGGCAGCGGUCUAAGUUCCUUGGAACAGGACAUCGCAGAGGGUGAGAAUCCCGUAUGUGGUCGCAUGCCUCCGCCGUGUAAAGCCCCUUCGACGAGUCGAGUUGUUUGGGAAUGCAGCUCUAAAUGGGAGGUAAAUUUCUUCUAAAGCUAAAUACCGGCCAGAGACCGAUAGCGCACAAGUAGAGUGAUCGAAAGAUGAAAAGCACUUUGGAAAGAGAGUCAAACAGCACGUGAAAUUGUUAAAAGGGAAGCGCUUGCAGCCAGACUUGCCUGUAGUUGCUCACCCGGGCUCCUGCCCGGGGCACUCUUCUGCAGGCAGGCCAGCAUCAGUUUGGGCGGUCGGACAAAGGCCUCUGACACGUACUUCCUUUCGGGGAUGACAUAUAGGGGAGGCGCAAUGCGACCAGCCCGGACUGAGGUCCGCGCAUCUGCUAGGAUGCUGGCGUAAUGGCUGUAAGCGGCCCGUCUUGAAACACGGACCAAGGAGUCUAACAUCUAUGCGAGUGUUUGGGUGUCAAGCCCGAGCGCGUAAUGAAAGUGAACGGAGGUGGGAACCCCUCGGGGCGCACCAUCGACCGAUCCUGAUGUCUUCGGAUGGAUUUGAGUAAGAGCAUAGCUGUUGGGACCCGAAAGAUGGUGAACUAUGCUUGAAUAGGGUGAAGCCAGAGGAAACUCUGGUGGAGGCUCGCAGCGGUUCUGACGUGCAAAUCGAUCGUCAAAUUUGGGCAUAGGGGCGAAAG
Molecule: ribosomal RNA, 819 nt
Filed under: Periconia chengduensis
Lineage: Eukaryota; Fungi; Ascomycota; Dothideomycetes; Pleosporales; Periconiaceae
Description: partial large subunit ribosomal RNA
Rfam family: Eukaryotic large subunit ribosomal RNA
Source: RNAcentral